RNAcentral lists this ribosomal RNA (792 nucleotides) under Solirubrum puertoriconensis. RNAcentral's name for it is "bacterial LSU rRNA". It matches the Rfam family "Bacterial large subunit ribosomal RNA", at positions 2114 to 2925 of the family's 2925-position model. The record is from RNAcentral. Lineage: Bacteria; Pseudomonadati; Bacteroidota; Cytophagia; Cytophagales.
ACAUUGACCCUGGGCACCGCAUGUGUAGCAUAGGUGGGAGGCGUUGAACCGGGGCCGCUAGGUCUCGGGGAGCCGACGUUGAAAUACCACCCUUGCGUUGCUUGGGGCCUAAUCUCGGACGACGGGAAACAGUGUCUGGUGGGUAGUUUGACUGGGGUGGUCGCCUCCAAAAGUGUAUCGGAGGCUUUCAAAGGUCCGCUCAAUCCGCUUGGUAACCGGAUGCAGAGCGCAAUAGCAGAAGCGGGCUUGACUGUGAGGCGUACAGGCCGAGCAGGGUCGAAAGACGGAUAUAGUGAUCCGGUGGUUCCGCAUGGAAGGGCCAUCGCUCAAAGGAUAAAAGGUACGCCGGGGAUAACAGGCUGAUCUCCCCCAAGAGCUCAUAUCGACGGGGAGGUUUGGCACCUCGAUGUCGGCUCGUCACGUCCUGGGGCUGGAGAAGGUCCCAAGGGUUCGGCUGUUCGCCGAUUAAAGUGGCACGCGAGCUGGGUUCAGAACGUCGUGAGACAGUUCGGUCCCUAUCUGUGGCGGGCGUUGGAAUGUUGACAGGACCUGACCUUAGUACGAGAGGACCGGGUUGGACCAGCCGCUGGUGUACCAGUUGUGCCGCCAGGUGCAGCGCUGGGUAGCUACGCUGGGUCGAGAUAAGCGCUGAAAGCAUCUAAGUGCGAAACUCACCUGAAGAUGAGCAUUCCGUUCAAGAAGGUCCGUGGUAGAUCACCACGUCGAUAGGCCGCAGGUCUUAAGCCGGAGACGGCCAGCCGAGCGGUACUAAUGAACCGAACGCUUCCGAAU